AUUGAACGCUGGCGGCAGGCCUAACUCAUGCAAGUCGAGCGGAUGAAGGGAGCUUGCUCCUGGAUUCAGCGGCGGACGGGUGAGUAAUGCCUAGGAAUCUGCCUGGUAGUGGGGGAUAACGUCCGGAAACGGGCGCUAAUACCGCAUACGUCCUGAGGGAGAAAGUGGGGGAUCUUCGGACCUCACGCUAUCAGAUGAGCCUAGGUCGGAUUAGCUAGUUGGUGGGGUAAAGGCCUACCAAGGCGACGAUCCGUAACUGGUCUGAGAGGAUGAUCAGUCACACUGGAACUGAGACACGGUCCAGACUCCUACGGGAGGCAGCAGUGGGGAAUAUUGGACAAUGGGCGAAAGCCUGAUCCAGCCAUGCCGCGUGUGUGAAGAAGGUCUUCGGAUUGUAAAGCACUUUAAGUUGGGAGGAAGGGCAGUAAGUUAAUACCUUGCUGUUUUGACGUUACCAACAGAAUAAGCACCGGCUAACUUCGUGCCAGCAGCCGCGGUAAUACGAAGGGUGCAAGCGUUAAUCGGAAUUACUGGGCGUAAAGCGCGCGUAGGUGGUUCAGCAAGUUGGAUGUGAAAUCCCCGGGCUCAACCUGGGAACUGCAUCCAAAACUACUGAGCUAGAGUACGGUAGAGGGUGGUGGAAUUUCCUGUGUAGCGGUGAAAUGCGUAGAUAUAGGAAGGAACACCAGUGGCGAAGGCGACCACCUGGACUGAUACUGACACUGAGGCGCGAAAGCGUGGGGAGCAAACAGGAUUAGAUACCCUGGUAGUCCACGCCGUAAACGAUGUCGACUAGCCGUUGGGAUCCUUGAGAUCUUAGUGGCGCAGCUAACGCGAUAAGUCGACCGCCUGGGGAGUACGGCCGC
This 866-nucleotide ribosomal RNA is filed under the name uncultured Pseudomonadales bacterium. RNAcentral's name for it is "bacterial SSU rRNA". It matches the Rfam family "Bacterial small subunit ribosomal RNA", at positions 28 to 889 of the family's 1533-position model. The record is from RNAcentral. Lineage: Bacteria; Pseudomonadati; Pseudomonadota; Gammaproteobacteria; Pseudomonadales.